UACGGAGGGUGCAAGCGUUAUCCGGAUUCACUGGGUUUAAAGGGUGCGUAGGUGGGAAUGUAAGUCAGUGGUGAAAUCUCCGUGCUUAACAUGGAAACUGCCAUUGAUACUAUGUUUCUUGAAUUUUCUGGAGGUCAGCGGAAUAUGUCAUGUAGCGGUGAAAAUGCUUAGAUAUGACAUAGAACGCCAAUUGCGAAGGCAGCUGACUACAGGGACAUUGACACUGAGGCACGAAAGCGUGGGGAGCAAACAGG
This 254-nucleotide ribosomal RNA is filed under the name uncultured bacterium. Its description in RNAcentral is "partial 16S ribosomal RNA". It matches the Rfam family "Bacterial small subunit ribosomal RNA", at positions 524 to 776 of the family's 1533-position model. The record is from RNAcentral.